GUGGGAGCAAGGCUUGCCCGCGAUGCAGGCACCUCGGUGUAGCUGAUGGAUCGAGGCGAUGCCAUCGCGGGCAAGCCUUGCUCCCAC
This 87-nucleotide unclassified non-coding RNA is filed under the name Pseudomonas kilonensis. The record is from RNAcentral. Lineage: Bacteria; Pseudomonadati; Pseudomonadota; Gammaproteobacteria; Pseudomonadales; Pseudomonadaceae.